CCGGAAGUGCGCAGGGCGGCGGCCGCGCAGGCCCGCGUGGGGCGGGAGACACCGGAGGUGGAGGAAGGGGCCGCGUACCACGUGGUGUGUGGAGCCGAGGAAAGCACGGACUUCCAGCACCCGGGAAGUGAGCACGGAAAAGUCAGUUCACGGCUGCCGCGUUCCUUCCGGCGGACAGCCGGUGACCGCGAGGAAAGGAGGCAACAAGGCUCACACAGCAAUUGUCAUCUUGCUUGCUACCCCUGGGCCCCCAGGGGCAGAAAGGAGUUCUAGGCUGCUGCUCAGCACCACUGAUAGGAUUUGCAGUCCUCAUCCACGUAUGAAGACAGAGGAGCAGAGGAGGGACACCAGACUGUCAUCUGAAAGUGUUCCCCAGCACAGCAAAGACAGUGUGUGUUUGCAUCCACCCUAGAGUACCGUAGCAGCUGAAGGCAAUUUGACAGACACAACAUGUAUCUGGAAUAAAAGGUGUUUCACAGUGCCUUUCAACUUUAAAACUGCGGUGAUAUUUUCUGGGGAGCAUUACGCCUACUUGGUAAAUGGAGCCGAACAGGAUUCAGUGGUUUCCCUUAAGGCCACCAGAUGGGACAGUUUUGUUUUUUCCAGAUGGGACAGUUCUUAGACACAUUGGACCGUUCUCCAGGAACUAAACUAACAGCAGAGCAGUGAAAUCUAAUGUCUCUAUGAAACUUAGUCCUGCUUUUUUUUUUUAAGUGAACUCAUGGUACC
Molecule: long non-coding RNA, 729 nt
Organism: Prionailurus viverrinus (fishing cat)
Lineage: Eukaryota; Metazoa; Chordata; Mammalia; Carnivora; Felidae
Exons: 2
Source: RefSeq, a predicted model, not a curated record